GAUGAACGCUGGCGGCGUGCCUAAUACAUGCAAGUCGAGCGAACAGACGAGGAGCUUGCUCCUCUGACGUUAGCGGCGGACGGGUGAGUAACACGUGGAUAACCUACCUAUAAGACUGGGAUAACUUCGGGAAACCGGAGCUAAUACCGGAUAAUAUAUUGAACCGCAUUGUUCAAUAGUGAAAGACGGUUUUGCUGUCACUUAUAGAUGGAUCCGCGCCGCAUUAGCUAGUUGGUAAGGUAACGGCUUACCAAGGCAACGAUGCGUAGCCGACCUGAGAGGGUGAAUGGCGACACUGGAACUGAGACAAGGUCCAGAGUCCUACGAGAGGCAGCAGUAGGGAAUAUUCCGCAAUGGGCGAAAGAAUGACGGAGCAACGCCGCGUGAGUGAUGAAGGUCUUCGGAUAGUAAAACUCUGUUAUUAGGGAAGAACAAAUGUGUAAGUAACUAUGCACGUCUUGACGGUACCUAAUCAGAAAGCCACGGCUAACUACGUG
RNAcentral lists this ribosomal RNA (497 nucleotides) under uncultured bacterium. Its description in RNAcentral is "partial 16S ribosomal RNA". It matches the Rfam family "Bacterial small subunit ribosomal RNA", at positions 28 to 507 of the family's 1533-position model. The record is from RNAcentral.